UAAAACAUUUCAUAACUUAGUUUUUAAACAACAAUCCAUUCUUCAAUAUAUUAUUCCUGUAAUUAUCUGAGUGUAAUAUUCAUCGUGUUUGUUUUCAGGAUGGAUACUGUCACGCCAAAGGUCUGACCCCGACUGCCAAGAUCUCAGGAUUCGUAGACGUGACUCCAGAGAACGAGAAUGCUUUGAAAUUGGCUCUGGUUGAGAAGGGACCCAUCUCCAUCAGUAUUGAUGCUUCUCUCAGGUCUUUCUCCUACUAUUCCCAUGGAGUGUUCUACGAUCCGCAGUGUGGAAACACAACUGACAAGCUGGAUCAUGCUGUUGUGCUGGUUGGCUACGGAAAACUGGCAGGUGAACCCUAUUGGCUGGUGAAGAACUCGUGGUCCAACUAUUGGGGCGAAGAAGGCUACAUUCUCAUCUCACCCAAGGACAACAACUGCGGAGUUGCGUGUGCCCCCACCUAUGUCGUUUUAGAUUAGAUUUUAUUCACAUUUCAUCCAUGAAAACUCAAGAUAACAUAAUUCAUUCAUUCAAUUUGAUGAUGCUUUUGAAUUCUAAAUUCAAUGCGAUAAUGUUUUAGAAUCUUUCAAGUCUGAUAUUAUUAUUUUAAUAAGUCUCGAACAAUACGUGAGAAUCAAGUUAGUUUAGAACGUAGCAAUAACAUUGAAACAAUUUUUGCUCAAAAGAAGAUUCAUUUUUGAUGCGUGAUUAUUUAAUAUUCUUGAAUCAAACGUUUUUAGUUGUUAGGUGUUUUAAUUGUGUCAUACUCGAACAUUGUAAGUUUGAAUAAAGUGAUAUUUUUACAAUG
Nilaparvata lugens (brown planthopper) is the source of this 805-nucleotide long non-coding RNA. RefSeq lists it as uncharacterized. NCBI's taxonomy places the organism in Eukaryota, Metazoa, Arthropoda, Insecta, Hemiptera, Delphacidae. The record is from RefSeq and is a predicted model, not a curated record. The transcript has 2 exons.